GAGAAUAAGUCUAUUAAAGGUUUUUGGGAUGUUAAGAGGAAUGAGUAGAAUAAAAAUGGAAAUGCUAAAGCAACGGUUAAGUCUGAACAGUCAUGGAUAUGGUGACCAAGAACUAGAGAAAUAUCUUCAAAUAUUGUGAAGGUGAUUGGAGAAAGAGUAGAAGUGAGGAUGAAUGCAAGGUUUUCCCCAAGGCUUGAAUCUUUUGAGAACAAAUGUGGGUUAUUCUCUCCAAGGAGAUGUGGCUUCUCUCAGAUCAUUGAUUGCUUUGCUGCUAACAAACGAGGAUUUACAAAAAGAUAUGGUUUCUCUCAAUGAAGAUGUGGCUUCUCUCAAACAAUGUGGUCUCAAUGAAGAUGUGGCUUUU
RNAcentral lists this long non-coding RNA (364 nucleotides) under Capsella rubella. RNAcentral describes it as "long non-coding RNA (CRUB_LNC003130)". The record is from RNAcentral. Lineage: Eukaryota; Viridiplantae; Streptophyta; Magnoliopsida; Brassicales; Brassicaceae.